Molecule: non-coding RNA, 2427 nt
Organism: Paramisgurnus dabryanus
Lineage: Eukaryota; Metazoa; Chordata; Actinopteri; Cypriniformes; Cobitidae
Source: RefSeq, a predicted model, not a curated record
CUGUUAGAUGUCGCUGUAGAUUUAGCAGUACAUUACUGUAAAAAUCCACAGUACUAUACUGUAUGUGUACAUUACAGUACAGUACUGCAGUUCAUAAUGCAUUCUGGGUAAAUUUGUUUGAGCGGGAAAAUUUUACAGUAUAUUUUGGUCUUGAUGUAACCUUGCUGUAGCCAUUGCUGUAAUGUGCCAGGUGUACUUGCAAUAAUCAGAGAAAGUGCGCCAACGUCAAAUCACACAGAGGGAGAGAGAGCACAACUCCUGGCUGCAGCUGAAGGAGGACGAUUGAUUUCUGGCAGUUCGGUAAGUUUGAAAUAUUUCUGUUUCAUGAAAACUUAAUUUUUAGUUUAAGAAUGUUGUCAAUAGUUUGUCACAAUAUUGUUUUAAACGUGCAAUGAGAGAGAAAAACGGUCGCCAACAAAGUUUCAAUCUCCCUCAGAAAGUAAGCUUACACACAGAUGUCUACCGCUGCUUUAACUCGCUUUACACCUUUUUUUUAAUGAAUAUAGGGUUGUUUUAACUAAAUUAUGAGGGUUUUGGUGAGUUUAUAUUGUGUUGAAAGUGUGGUGACAAUGAAACUAUUUUUAACGAAAUGGACAAAGACAACCCGCCAGCGCGGUCUUGCGGUCCCAGCAUAAUGGUCGUUUAUCUCGGCGUUUCAUCCGUUCAGUUAGCGUCAGAGAAAAGUAUUAAGUUCGACUGUUUGGCAAGGCUGACUCGUGGUUGUAAACAGUCAGGACUUGUCACACCGUACACAGCAUACUGUAGUACUGAACUCCUCCACAGAAGUGAAAACAAGAAACCUCAUAACUGGAUACAUGCAUCGAACUCAUCGCAGCUUUAACUUCUACCAAAUAUCAUUCAGACCUGGGCUCAUCUUAAUAUCAGAUGAACGAAAGGGAUUGCCGCGCGUAUUGUUGUUGUUAUUAUAUUACGGUAUAUCAUCAAAAGCAGAGAAUAUCUUCUCUAAAGCGUUUUACACGUCCAUCUUACCAUUGCUUGUAAGCUGGAUUGGGUAAGAUGGAUCAUCUUUAAAGGCACCAGGCAAGUACAUGAUGUACAGUUACAAGUCAUGUAUUUUUUCGACUGCAAUAUUAAAUGCUUUCACGUCACAUGCAAAAUUACACAGGAAUGUGGCUGACUUUUUAUUUGUAGUUUACAUGAGUGUCCUUGCACUUUUAUAGGAGUUAAGGCAGAUGUGGAGGCACAACGGGUGAUACCAGACACACACCAAGCACAUUAUGUUUGGUAAGUUUGCACUUUACCACUACAGCCACUUUACCACUACAGUUUCUUUAAAUACCCAUGUAUACACUCAUUCACUCAUUCACACACAACACUGUAACACGACCAUACACAACAUGUACACAAUUGUCUUAGUUUGCCAUGUAGAAAUAUACAAACAGAAAUAUUCAGACUUUGGUUAUAAGAAAUUUAAUUUAAUAAUUGUAUUUAUUUAGCAGAGGUGUCCCUGGACUUUAUUGACAAAAGAUUUUGUUUUCAGAAUAAAAAGUUGUGUCCAAAUCAGUAACAAUUGUACUUUCUGUUCAGGACAUUCAAUCAUGACAUGAUCCAGGUGGAUGCUGUCCAUUGAGGAAAGAGUUUGUUCAGCGGUUUCUGGAUAGAAUUAAUUCCAAAGAUGGGAAAAAGUGCACAUCCAGACAAGGAGCAAGCAAAAAGACAAGGAACUUGGUGCAGAGAAAAGCUGUGGCCAUUAACCCCUGUGAACAGCUUCAUGCAGUCCCUGAUUGAGUUCGAAUGGACGACUUCAGUAAAGGCCACUGUGGUCUGUCUGCCACAGUUUAAUUUUUAAUUUAUUUUUAGUGUUCAAUGAAAUUCAAGUAGAAUAUUUAAAACUAUGGGCCAGUGUUCUUUUUACCACAGUGAAAUGUUACCUUUUAGUCGAUGAUGGACUUUAAACUGAAAACUUCAAACUAUGGAAGAGUGUUCUAUUUGCCAGAGUUAAAUAUGUUACAGCAGGGGUCUCCAAACUUGUUUAUACUUGUUGAUUUUAUUUUAUGUUACUUGAUUAUAUGUUUAUUAUUGUUUAAAAUCUUGUUUUAAAUAUGUUUGUUUCAAUUAAAUGUUUUUUUUUAAUAAAAUUUUGAUACAAACAUUGCUUGGAUUGCCUUUUAAUUCAUUAUGUUUUAAUUUAGCAUUUUUACCAUAUUAAUAACUAUAGAUUUAAACCUAAAUCUCUAGCUAUUUUAUAUAAUAUUAUUGUAUUAACUGUAAUAAGUAAUAAAUAGUAUUUAUGGGUCAAUAUAGACAUUACAGUAAAUUACUGUAAAAAUAGACUACUGUAAUAAAAUAUUGUAAAAUUACAGUACAGUACUGCUUUGUAACUAUACAGUACUAGUUUGUGUACUGUAAAAUGGUAUUACAGUACAGUACUGUAAAACCAAAAUACAGUAACUUACUGGCAACCGU